RNAcentral lists this unclassified non-coding RNA (200 nucleotides) under soil metagenome. Its description in RNAcentral is "partial contains internal transcribed spacer 2 and large subunit ribosomal RNA". The record is from RNAcentral.
UGGCGCAACUGAGGUUGCUUGUUGGCUCCUCUUGAAUGAAUGAGUUUUUCUGAUGGAUCAUAGCUCAGUAACACUAAUGUGAUAAUUAUCUACGUUAGAUGUGAAGAGGCUCCUACAGAAAAGGUGUAUCUUGGGGAUAACAAACCCUUGACUUUGACAAAUCUGACCUCAAAUCAGGUAGGACUACCCGCUGAACUUAA